CUGUCUCUUAAUAAUAAUAGAUUCAGUGAUCACUUACAUUUGAUAUAUCCAAGAGAACUUGAAAUUAAAGAUACUACCGACACAGAAAAAUCUGCUUCAUAUUUAGACCUUUUUCUCGAAAUGAGUACUGAUGGUAGGUUGAAUACCAAAAUUUAUGACAAACGCGAUGAUUUCAAUUUUCAUAUAGUCAACUUUCCGUUUCUGUGAAGCAACAUCCCAGCGGCACCAGCAUAUGGAGUAUAUGUGUCUC
Molecule: long non-coding RNA, 250 nt
Filed under: Mytilus galloprovincialis (Mediterranean mussel)
Lineage: Eukaryota; Metazoa; Mollusca; Bivalvia; Mytilida; Mytilidae
Source: RNAcentral